RNAcentral lists this ribosomal RNA (431 nucleotides) under uncultured bacterium. RNAcentral's name for it is "bacterial SSU rRNA". It matches the Rfam family "Bacterial small subunit ribosomal RNA", at positions 355 to 775 of the family's 1533-position model. The record is from RNAcentral.
UGGGGAAUUUUGGACAAUGGGGGCAACCCUGAUCCAGCCAUGCCGCGUGAGUGAAGAAGGCCUUCGGGUUGUAAAGCUCUUUCGGCCGGAACGAAAUCGCAGAGACUAAUACUCAUCUGUGGAUGACGGUACCGGAAUAAGAAGCACCGGCUAACUACGUGCCAGCAGCCGCGGUAAUACGUAGGGUGCGAGCGUUAAUCGGAAUUACUGGGCGUAAAGCGUGCGCAGGCGGUUCGUUAAGACAGGUGUGAAAUCCCCGGGCUCAACCUGGGAAUGGCGCUUGUGACUGGCGGGCUUUAGAGUGCGGCAGAGGGGGGUGGAAUUCCACGUGUAGCAGUGAAAUGCGUAGAGAUGUGGAGGAACACCGAUGGCGAAGGCAGCCCCCUGGGCCGACACUGACGCUCAUGCACGAAAGCGUGGGGAGCAAACAG